UGCAUAUCCAAUAAAGCGAGAGGAAAAAAGAAAAACCAAACAGGGAUUGCCUCAGUAAUCGGCGAGUGAAGCGGCAACAGCUCAAAUUUGAAAUCUGGCCUCACGGUCCCGAGUUGUAAUUUGUAGAGGAUGCUUUUGGCGAGGUGCUUUCCGAGUUCCCUGGAACGGGACGCCAUAGAGGGUGAGAGCCCCGUACGGUAAGACCACCGAGCCUCUGUAAAGCUCCUUCGACGAGUCGAGUAGUUUGGGAAUGCUGCUCUAAAUGGGAGGUGUACGUCUUCUAAAGCUAAAUACCGGCCAGAGACCGAUAGCGCACAAGUAGAGUGAUCGAAAGAUGAAAAGCACUUUGAAAAGAGGGUUAAAAAGUACGUGAAAUUGUUGAAAGGGAAGCAUUCAUGACCAGACUUGGGCUUGGUUGAACAUCCGGCGUUCUCGCCGGUGCACUCUGCCAGUCCAGGCCAGCAUCAGUUUGCCCCGGGGGACAAAGGCGGUGGGAAUGUGGCUCUCUUCGGGGAGUGUUAUAGCCCGCCGUGUAAUGCCCUGGGGCGGACUGAGGAACGCGCUUCGGCACGGAUGCUGGCGUAAUGGUCAUCAAUGACCCGUCUUGAAACACGGACCAAGGAGUCGUCUUCGUAUGCGAGUGUUCGGGUGUCAAACCCCUACGCGUAAUGAAAGUGAACGUAGGUGAGAGCUUCGGCGCAUCACCGACCGAUCCUGAUGUUCUCGGAUGGAUUUGAGUAAGAGCAUACGGGGCCGGACCCGAAAGAAGGUGAACUAUGCCUGUAUAGGGUGAAGCCAGAGGAAACUCUGGUGGAGGCUCGCAGCGGUUCUGACGUGCAAAUCGAUCGUCAAAUAUGGGCAUGGAGCGAAAGAC
This 874-nucleotide ribosomal RNA is filed under the name Sarocladium strictum. RNAcentral's name for it is "LSU rRNA". It matches the Rfam family "Eukaryotic large subunit ribosomal RNA", at positions 1 to 931 of the family's 3401-position model. Lineage: Eukaryota; Fungi; Ascomycota; Sordariomycetes; Hypocreales; Sarocladiaceae. The record is from RNAcentral.